This 138-nucleotide non-coding RNA is filed under the name Sphingobacteriales bacterium. Lineage: Bacteria; Pseudomonadati; Bacteroidota; Sphingobacteriia; Sphingobacteriales. The record is from RNAcentral.
AGUAAUUCAACCGGUGCAGGCAGCCAAGGCUGCGUGCUUAAUAGGGGAAUCGUGUGAAAAUCACGGGCUGACGGGCAACUGUAAUCCGCCAGAACAAAGGUGGAAAGCCAGGACACCUGCCAUAAUGAAUUAAUUGUU